UGGUUCGUUGUUGAUGUACUGGCAGCUUUACCAUUCGACCAUUUAUAUGCAUCAGACUUGUAUAACGGAGAAGAGUCUCAUAUUCAUUUGGUGAAACUUACUCGCCUAUUACGUUUAGCACGGUUACUACAGAAAAUGGACAGAUAUUCCCAAUAUACCGCAAUGAUUCUAACGUUGUUAAUGCUGUUGUUCUCACUUGUAGCUCACUGGUUAGCCUGCAUCUGGUAUGUCAUCGCCGAAAAGGAAAAUAUGUUUAAUGAACCUGGAUGGGAUAUAGGGUGGAUGCACGCACUAGCUGAACGUUUAAAAAUUCCAGCAUCGAAUAUAUCAAACGCAGAAGCUUAUUCCACAGCACUUUAUUUUACAUUCACAAGUCUAACAUCUGUUGGAUUUGGCAACGUUUCUGCGAACACAACUGCCGAAAAAGUAUUUUCUAUAAUAAUGAUGUUAA
This is a long non-coding RNA of Musca vetustissima, 451 nucleotides long. RefSeq lists it as uncharacterized. NCBI's taxonomy places the organism in Eukaryota, Metazoa, Arthropoda, Insecta, Diptera, Muscidae. The record is from RefSeq and is a predicted model, not a curated record. The transcript is spliced from 3 exons.